UCCAGGGUAGCCUAGUGGACAUGGCAUCUGCCCGGUAAGCGGAACACUGUGGGUUCGAUUCCCAUCCCUGGAU
Cordylochernes scorpioides is the source of this 73-nucleotide non-coding RNA. NCBI's taxonomy places the organism in Eukaryota, Metazoa, Arthropoda, Arachnida, Pseudoscorpiones, Chernetidae. The record is from the annotation of a GenBank genome assembly.